This 458-nucleotide ribosomal RNA is filed under the name uncultured bacterium. RNAcentral's name for it is "partial 16S ribosomal RNA". It matches the Rfam family "Bacterial small subunit ribosomal RNA", at positions 338 to 795 of the family's 1533-position model. The record is from RNAcentral.
CCUACGGGCGGCAGCAGUGAGGAAUAUUGGUCAAUGGGCGAGAGCCUGAACCAGCCAAGUCGCGUGAGGGAGUACUGCCCUAUGGGUUGUAAACCUCUUUUGUCGGGGAGCAAAAGCCGGUCGUGUCCGGCUGUGAGAGUACCCGCAGAAAAAGCAUCGGCUAACUCCGUGCCAGCAGCCGCGGUAAUACGGGGGAGGCGCGCGUUAUACGGAUUUAUUGGGUUUAAAGGGUGCGCAGGCGGAGUUUUAAGUCAGCGGGAAAAUCGUGGGGCUCAACCCCCUCCAGCCGUUGAAACUGGGGAUCUUGAGUGGGCGAGAGGUAUGCGGAAUGCGUGGUGUAGCGGUGAAAUGCAUAGAUAUCACGCAGAACCCCGAUUGCGAAGGCAGCAUACCGGUGCACAACUGACGCUCAGGCACGAAAGCGUGGGUAUCGAACAGGAUUAGAUACCCCUGUAGUC